This 368-nucleotide ribosomal RNA is filed under the name uncultured organism. Its description in RNAcentral is "bacterial SSU rRNA". It matches the Rfam family "Bacterial small subunit ribosomal RNA", at positions 526 to 896 of the family's 1533-position model. The record is from RNAcentral.
CGUAGGUGGCAAGCGUUGUCCGGAUUUAUUGGGUUUAAAGGGUGCGUAGGCGGCUUUGUAAGUCAGUGGUGAAAUAUGGCAACUCAACUGUCAGGGUGCCAUUGAUACUGCAGAGCUUGAGUACAGAUGAGGUAGGCGGAAUUGACGGUGUAGCGGUGAAAUGCUUAGAUAUCGUCAAGAACACCGAUAGCGAAGGCAGCUUACUAGGCUGUAACUGACGCUGAGGCACGAAAGUGUGGGGAUCAAACAGGAUUAGAUACCCUGGUAGUCCACACUGUAAACGUUGAUGACUCGCUGUUGGCGAUACACGGCCAGCGGCAGAGAGAAAUCGUUAAGUCAUCCACCUGGGGAGUACGCCGGCAACGGUG